RNAcentral lists this long non-coding RNA (266 nucleotides) under Capsicum annuum. Its description in RNAcentral is "long non-coding RNA (CANN_LNC011200)". The record is from RNAcentral. Lineage: Eukaryota; Viridiplantae; Streptophyta; Magnoliopsida; Solanales; Solanaceae.
UCCUCUUUUUUUUUCGUUCUUUUCGACUUACUUUUCUAUUUUUUUCUUUUUCGUUUUUGCCUACACACCUUACUCCUAAAAAAUUAAUUUAAUUUUUUUUUUCAAAAAUCAAUCCGUCAAAUGACCACGUUACCCUUAAUAAUGCAACAGUUAGCACGUAGGGAUGCUUUAAAGGGGAGUCUCCUACAAAGGGCCAUGUGGGUCCCGCUAGGUCUCCGCAUGAUGCACAUAAGCAUGACCUAAAGGCUGACCUACAUUGUGGUUUA